RNAcentral lists this ribosomal RNA (478 nucleotides) under uncultured bacterium. Its description in RNAcentral is "bacterial SSU rRNA". It matches the Rfam family "Bacterial small subunit ribosomal RNA", at positions 205 to 702 of the family's 1533-position model. The record is from RNAcentral.
AGAUUUAUCGCCGAAAGAUCGGCCCGCGUAAGAUUAGCUAGUUGGUGAGGUAAUGGCUCACCAAGGCUACGAUCUUUAGCUGGUCUGAGAGGAUGAUCAGCCACACUGGGACUGAGACACGGCCCAGACUCCUACGGGAGGCAGCAGUGGGGAAUAUUGGACAAUGGGCGCAAGCCUGAUCCAGCCAUGCCGCGUGAGUGAUGAAGGCCUUAGGGUUGUAAAGCUCUUUUAGCAGGGACGAUAAUGACGGUACCUGCAGAAAAAGCCCCGGCCAACUUCGUGCCAGCAGCCGCGGUAAUACGAAGGGGGCUAGCGUUGCUCGGAAUCACUGGGCGUAAAGCGCACGUAGGUGGGUCGUUAAGUCNGGGGUGAAAUCCCAGAGCUCAACUCUGGAACUGCCUUCGAUACUGGCGACCUUCGAGUUCGGGAGAAGUGAGUGGAACUGCGAGUGUAGAGGUGAAAUUCGUAGAUAUUCGCA